UUUAGUGUUUACRAUAAUAAAAGCUUUGAACUUAUUAUUAGGAAUUUAUCCUUCGUAAAAU
This 61-nucleotide transfer RNA is filed under the name Celleporella hyalina. Its description in RNAcentral is "tRNA-Gln". Lineage: Eukaryota; Metazoa; Bryozoa; Gymnolaemata; Cheilostomatida; Hippothoidae. The record is from RNAcentral.